AGUGAACGCUGGCGGCAGGCCUAAUACAUGCAAGUCGAACGGCAGCACAGCAGAGCUUGCUCUGUGGGUGGCGAGUGGCGGACGGGUGAGGAAUACAUGGGAAUCUGCCCAGUCGUGGGGGAUAACGUAUGGAAACGUACGCUAAUACCGCAUGCGCCCUACGGGGGAAAGCCGGGGACCGCAAGGCCUGGCGCGAUUGGAUGAGCCCAUGUUCGAUUAGCUAGUUGGCGGGGUAAAGGCCCACCAAGGCGACGAUCGAUAGCUGGUCUGAGAGGAUGAUCAGCCACACUGGAACUGAGACACGGUCCAGACUCCUACGGGAGGCAGCAGUAGGGAAUAUUGGACAAUGGGGGCAACCCUGAUCCAGCCAUGCCGCGUGAGUGAAGAAGGCCCUCGGGUUGUAAAGCUCUUUUGUCCGGAAAGAAAAGCAUCUGGUUAAUACCCGGGUGUUCUGACGGUACCGGAAGAAUAAGCACCGGCUAA
This 483-nucleotide ribosomal RNA is filed under the name uncultured bacterium. RNAcentral describes it as "bacterial SSU rRNA". It matches the Rfam family "Bacterial small subunit ribosomal RNA", at positions 29 to 500 of the family's 1533-position model. The record is from RNAcentral.